CCUACGGGUGGCUGCAGUGGGGAAUAUUGCACAAUGGGCGCAAGCCUGAUGCAGCCAUGCCGCGUGUGUGAAGAAGGCCUUCGGGUUGUAAAGCACUUUCAGCGGGGAGGAAGGCGUUAAGGUUAAUAACCUUGUCGAUUGACGUUACCCGCAGAAGAAGCACCGGCUAACUCCGUGCCAGCAGCCGCGGUAAUACGGAGGGUGCAAGCGUUAAUCGGAAUUACUGGGCGUAAGGCGCACGCAGGCGGUCUGUCAAGUCGGAUGUGAAAUCCCCGGGCUCAACCUGGGAACUGCAUUCGAAACUGGCAGGCUAGAGUCUUGUAGAGGGGGGUAGAAUUCCAGGUGUAGCGGUGAAAUGCGUAGAGAUCUGGAGGGAUACCGGUGGCGAAGGCGGCCCCCUGGACAAAGACUGACGCUCAGGUGCGAAAGCGUGGGGAGCAAACAGGAUUAGAUACCCUUGUAGUC
Molecule: ribosomal RNA, 465 nt
Filed under: uncultured Klebsiella sp.
Lineage: Bacteria; Pseudomonadati; Pseudomonadota; Gammaproteobacteria; Enterobacterales; Enterobacteriaceae
Description: bacterial SSU rRNA
Rfam family: Bacterial small subunit ribosomal RNA
Source: RNAcentral